RNAcentral lists this signal recognition particle RNA (98 nucleotides) under Terriglobia bacterium. RNAcentral's name for it is "signal recognition particle sRNA small type". It matches the Rfam family "Bacterial small signal recognition particle RNA". From Rfam's summary of the family: The signal recognition particle (SRP) is a universally conserved ribonucleoprotein involved in the co-translational targeting of proteins to membranes. The record is from RNAcentral. Lineage: Bacteria; Pseudomonadati; Acidobacteriota; Terriglobia. RNAcentral also lists the same sequence under 1 other name.
ACAUCGGUCCUACGCAACGUCUUCCCGCCAAUCCCGCCAGGUCCGGAAGGAAGCAACGGUAACGGGCUCUUGCGUGUGCAGUAGGCAGCCGGUGUCCG